RNAcentral lists this ribosomal RNA (441 nucleotides) under uncultured Streptomyces sp. RNAcentral's name for it is "bacterial SSU rRNA". It matches the Rfam family "Bacterial small subunit ribosomal RNA", at positions 958 to 1392 of the family's 1533-position model. The record is from RNAcentral. Lineage: Bacteria; Bacillati; Actinomycetota; Actinomycetes; Kitasatosporales; Streptomycetaceae.
AACGCGAAGAACCUUACCAAGGCUUGACAUACACCGGAAACGGCCAGAGAUGGUCGCCCCCUUGUGGUCGGUGUACGGGUGGUGCAUGGCUGUCGUCAGCUCGUGUCGUGAGAUGUUGGGUUAAGUCCCGCAACGAGCGCAACCCUUGUUCUGUGUUGCCAGCAUGCCCUUCGGGGUGAUGGGGACUCACAGGAGACUGCCGGGGUCAACUCGGAGGAAGGUGGGGACGACGUCAAGUCAUCAUGCCCCUUAUGUCUUGGGCUGCACACGUGCUACAAUGGCAGGUACAAUGAGUUGCGAAGCCGUGAGGCGGAGCGAAUCUCAAAAAGCCUGUCUCAGUUCGGAUUGGGGUCUGCAACUCGACCCCAUGAAGUCGGAGUUGCUAGUAAUCGCAGAUCAGCAUUGCUGCGGUGAAUACGUUCCCGGGCCUUGUACACACCG